UACGGACGGGGCAAGCGUUGUUCGGAAUCAUUGGGCGUAAAGGGCGCGUAGGCGGUUUUGUUUGUCCGCUGUAAAAGUCCACGGCUCACCCGUGGAGAGUCGGCGGAAACGGCAAGACUUGAGGCUGGGGGGGGUUGGUGGAAUUCCCUGUGUAGCGGUGAAAUGCGUAGAUACGGGGGAGAACACUCGUGGCGAAGGCGGCCAGCUGGCCCAGUCCUGACGCUGAGGCGCGACAGCGUGGGGAGCAAACAGG
RNAcentral lists this ribosomal RNA (253 nucleotides) under uncultured bacterium. RNAcentral's name for it is "partial 16S ribosomal RNA". It matches the Rfam family "Bacterial small subunit ribosomal RNA", at positions 524 to 776 of the family's 1533-position model. The record is from RNAcentral.